Long non-coding RNA from Hibiscus syriacus, 171 nucleotides. RefSeq lists it as uncharacterized. Lineage: Eukaryota; Viridiplantae; Streptophyta; Magnoliopsida; Malvales; Malvaceae. The record is from RefSeq and is a predicted model, not a curated record. The transcript is spliced from 3 exons.
CCCUCGGACAUCACCCGGUUCAUUGAGACUGGAUGCACCUGUAAGUGAAAGGGCAAAUACAAAACCACAUUUCAAUACCAUUUGCAACAAGAGAGAAUCCGGACUAAACAGUUAGAACUUAAAACAAAUUCGUAUUAGGGGAAAAAAGAAAACAAAUAAACAAACAAACAG